GCAGGGCGGCGUGCUACCAUGCAGUCGAACGCUGAAGCACUAGCUUGCUGGUGUGGAUGAGUGGCGAACGGGUGAGUAAUACGUGAGUAACCUGCCCUUGACUCUGGGAUAAGCCCGGGAAACUGGGUCUAAUACUGGAUGCUACAUGUCACCGCAUGGUGGUGUGUGGAAAGGGUUUACUGGUCUUGGAUGGGCUCACGGCCUAUCAGCUUGUUGGUGAGGUAAUGGCUCACCAAGGCGACGACGGGUAGCCGGCCUGAGAGGGUGACCGGCCACACUGGGACUGAGACACGGCCCAGACUCCUACGGGAGGCAGCAGUGGGGAAUAUUGCACAAUGGGCGAAAGCCUGAUGCACCGACGCCGCGUGAGGGAUGACGGCCUUCGGGUUGUAAACCUCUUUCAGCAGGGAAGAAGCCACAAGUGACGGUACCUGCAGAAGAAGCGCCGGCUAACUACGUGCCAGCAGCCGCGGUAAUACGUAGGGCGCAAGCGUUGUCCGGAAUUAUUGGGCGUAAAGAGCUCGUAGGCGGUUUGUCGCGUCUGCUGUGAAAGCCCGGGGCUUCACCCCGGGUGUGCAGUGGGUACGGGCAGACUAGAGUGCAGUAGGAGAGACUGGAAUUCCUGGUGUAGCGGUGGAAUGCGCAUAUAUCACGAGGAACACCGAUGGCGAACGCAGGUCUCUGGGCUGUUACUGACGCUGAGGAGCGAAAGCAUGGCGAGCGAACAGGAUUAGAUACCCUGGUAAUCCAUGCCGUAUACGUUGCGCACUAGGUGUGUGGGACAUUCCACGUUUUCUGCGCCGUAUCUGACGCAUUAAGUGCCCCGCCUGGGGAGUACGGCCGCAAGGCUAACACUCGAUAAGAAUUUGACAGGAGCCCGCACGAGCCGGCGGAGCAUGCGGGAUUAAUGUCGAUGCAACGCGAAGCAACCUUACCAAAGGCUUUGACUGAUACCGGCAUCGUUCCAGAUCAUGGCUUCUUCUCCCUUUUGGUGUCUGUAUACAGUGUGGUGACAUGGUUCGUCGUCAGCUCGUGUCGUCGACGAUGUUGUGAUUAAGUCCCGCUACGAGCGCACCCAUCGGUCUCCAUCGUUUGUCAGCAUCUGUGAUGGUGGGUACGUCCAUGGCGAGCACUUGACCGGAGCUCGACUCAGGACGACGGUGGAGGGAUGGACGUCCAAUCAAUCAUGCCGUAUGUCCUUGUACUCCCGUCAGUCCUAACAUGGACUGGUACGACGCUAGCUAAUGCAUGCAGCUGAGCUAGUCCCGAACAAGGCCUGCAC
Molecule: ribosomal RNA, 1282 nt
Filed under: Kocuria sp.
Lineage: Bacteria; Bacillati; Actinomycetota; Actinomycetes; Micrococcales; Micrococcaceae
Description: bacterial SSU rRNA
Rfam family: Bacterial small subunit ribosomal RNA
Source: RNAcentral